Molecule: long non-coding RNA, 2638 nt
Filed under: Lactuca sativa (garden lettuce)
Lineage: Eukaryota; Viridiplantae; Streptophyta; Magnoliopsida; Asterales; Asteraceae
Description: long non-coding RNA (LSAT_LNC003487)
Source: RNAcentral
UCAAAACCAAAGUAGAAAUAAUCAAACGUGUUAUCAUUAAACAAUAUCAGAGUGUAAUCUCAAAGAUCUCGUGUGCGGAAAACCAUAGUGUGAUGCGCUGCGAUCAAGCCGGCUCCCUUCCUUUAAACAUGAAGUACCUGAAACCAAAACUGAAAACCGUAAGCACAAAGCUUAGUGAGUUCCCCCAUCAUACCUCAUACCAUACAAUCACAUAGCAUACAUACUGCCAGGCAAUUCUGGGGUGCCCGACCUACCCGUGUUAAGCCAUUCUGGGGUGCUGACCUACCCGUGUCAAGCCAUUAUGGGGUGCUGACCUACCCGUGUCAAGCCAUUCUGGGGUGCUGACCUACCCCUGUAAAGCCAUUCUGGGGUGCUGACCUACCCGUCGGUCCUAACAACCGACCCUCGGGGACUAUUCCACCCCCUCCUGCUACUAUCACAUAUACCGUAACAUAAACAUACUAUCAGACAUAUCUGGGGUGCCUGAACUACCCUUCGGUCCUAACAACCGAACACGGGGACUGGUCCCCUCAUACUACCUCUAUCGCAUAUAACAUAACAAGCCAGCAUGCAAACAUAUCAUCACAUACUGUCAGACGUAUCUGGGGUGUCUGACUACCCUUCGGUCCUAACAACCAAACUCGACUACUAUCACACAUAACAUAUCAUGCUAGCAUAUAACAUAUCAAGUAUUAGCAAACCUAGAUGAUAUCACAAAGACAAUCAUCUAUUAUACCUCUCCUACUAGUGGGUCGGCAUUGUGGCCUUAGACCCACCGCUACUGGAAGGUAACUCACCUCACGCUGCUGAAGUCCCGUAGACACAAUCUCACACUGCUGAAGUCCCGCAGGCUGAACCCCAACUAUUGGUUGACAGAUUCCCGAACUGUCAACACCAAAAUAACACCCAAUUAAUAAUUGGGUCCCAACACAUAACCAUAAUACAUACUUGGAUAAUUACUACAUUACCCCAAGAUUGGCUUAUUUAAGCCCAACAAGGCCCAAUCCAUAAGCCCAAAGCCAACUAGGAAACAAAGCCCAACAUAUGGCCCAAUUUUCUAAAUUGGGCCCAAACCCUUACAAGGUCUUACCAUAAGGCCUAACCAUUUAGUCCAGUCCAACAUUCAACAUUCUAAUGGCCCAAUAUCACAUAAUCUUAAAGGCCCAAACUAUGGCCCAUAUAUGGCCAAAUUUUCCAAAUUGGCAUAUGGGCCUUACCACAAAGCCCAUUAAUUAUACUAGUCCAUUUGCUUGAUCUUGGAUGGCCCAUUUUAAUCCAAGUGAAAUUAGGGUUUCACAUAAAAUGAUGAUUAGGGUUAAGUUUCCUACUUAACCCAUUAAGGAUUUAAUCCAUUAAGGACUUAAUCCAUUAAGUCCAAUAUCGCUUAGAUUAAUCUUUACCAAUGAUUAUUAUUUAAUAUCUCAAGUUAUUAAAUAAUUCCCGUGUGACCCGAUUAAUUCCCCAAAUUAAGAUUUACUGGCAUUAGGGUUUUUCAAAAUCAAAUACUAGCCCAUUAUUAAUUUGUUGGACUUUUAGGUUAUUUAGGGCUUUAUUGGGCCGAUCAAGCCCACUAAAAUGUCAUCAAGCCCAUUAGGGUUUUAUUGGGUCAAUUAGAGUCCAUUAGACUCAUUAGGGUUUUCACUAAGCCCAUUUGGCUUCAUUGGGCCCAUUAGGCUAACAAGGCCCAUUAGGUUUUCAAGCAUCCCCAAUCGAGUCGACUCACAAGGCAAGCACACCGCCACCCGACACGGCGGCCGGUAGCGGCAGGGGGGGGGCGGGCCCNACCCCGCCCCCCGACACGGCGGCCGGUAGCGACAGGAGGCGGCAGCCACCACCCUACGGUGGUGGUUUGAGAUUUAUAUUAUUUCAAUUAUUACAAUUUACAAUGAAGUUACAGCUAAACACACACACACACACUACACUAAUUAAUCACACACUCAACCACCAAUUAAUCACACACUCAACCACCAAAGGGUAGCCAACGGCGGCAGAUGGUGGCAGCCACCACCUCACGGUGGUGGUGGUGAUCUCCAAGGUUUUCUAGCCACCCAAAACUCACACACAAUUACUUCCUAAUACACCACAGCGGAGAAUAACACACACACACACACACACAUCCUUUUCUUGGAAAAAAUAAAUCCAACACCCACCUAUGGUGGGCGGCGACUACAGCAGCACAGGAAACGGGCGGCAGCAGCGGCCAUUCGCGACAACAAUGUUGUCUUCUGCGUCAGCCUCCAUGGUCGGCGGCCAUGGUGGUUCUUCAUGAGCUCCAGCCGACAGAAAGUCACACACACCCACGCAACUACAUCACAACCCACGAUCCAGCCUCCGUUUCACGGUAGCGACGACCCAAAAAUGCUUUCAAGAACACGGGAGGAGGAGGGACGGUAGCAGCAGAACAACAGCGCCUACGACGACACAAUUCUCACUGGGGAGGGCACAUUGGCGAUUGUUCGGUGGUUUUUCCUCAAUUACACACGCCGCCCAACAGAAACGAUGGUGGUGCAAGCGGUGGUAUUCGACAGCAAGGGAUGAGGGGCAAUAAGGUGGCGGCGGAGGGCUCUAAUGACCGGAGAUGGUGAAUAAGGUAGAUGGUGGCGCCGGACACGAAAUGGGAGAGUGGCGGCUGUUUCAU